UACGUAGGGGGCAAGCGUUGUCCGGAAUCAUUGGGCGUAAAGAGCGUGUAGGCGGCCCGAUAAGUCCGCUGUGAAAGUCCAGGGCUCAACCCUGGGAUGCCGGUGGAUACUGUCGGGCUCGAGUCCGGAAGAGGAGUGUGGAAUUCCUGGUGUAGCGGUGGAAUGCGCAGAUAUCAGGAGGAACACCUAUAGCGAAGGCAGCUCGCUGGGACGGUACUGACGCUGAGGCGCGAAAGCGUGGGGAGCGAACAGG
Molecule: ribosomal RNA, 253 nt
Filed under: uncultured bacterium
Lineage: Bacteria
Description: partial 16S ribosomal RNA
Rfam family: Bacterial small subunit ribosomal RNA
Source: RNAcentral